Molecule: transfer RNA, 63 nt
Filed under: Proisotoma minuta
Lineage: Eukaryota; Metazoa; Arthropoda; Collembola; Entomobryomorpha; Isotomidae
Description: tRNA-Glu
Source: RNAcentral
GUUAUUUUAGUUUAUUAAAAUAUAGUAUUUUCAUUACUAAGAUAAGACUGCUCUUUUAUAAUA